Long non-coding RNA from Drosophila nasuta, 678 nucleotides. RefSeq lists it as uncharacterized. The record is from RefSeq and is a predicted model, not a curated record. The transcript is spliced from 3 exons. NCBI's taxonomy places the organism in Eukaryota, Metazoa, Arthropoda, Insecta, Diptera, Drosophilidae.
AUUUUAUUCAGUAAAGAUAGAGUAAUUAAUGGACUUGGGAAACGCCUCUGAUUGGCAUUCCAGGGAAAUGUUCUGUGCAAGUGCGGCACCAACUAAUUGAUUUUGUAUCCAAAUCAUUGGCGGAACUGUAAAAGGAUAAAAGGAGGAAUAACAGCAAAGCUCGUAAAGUAUGCGUAAAAAGAACAAAGAGCAAGGAUGGGAGUUAACUGAGUACCGGAGAACGACGUUUAAUGGCGGAAUGUAAUUGUAAUGGCAGGUCAGACGGGAGAAGGCAGAAAUGGAACCUCAGCACGUUUCAAAUACAAUUUACAAUAAAUAAAAUUUAAAAGCGAGAAAAAAUGCUGCGACAACAGCGCAGCUCAGCGCCAGAGAAUACAGCGCAGAAAACUGAAGACAGACACCGACACCGACUCCUAAUGGCAACACUCGCUGGCAGCACUAUGAAACAGGGGCAAGAAAUGAGCACGUGACGCUUGGGAUAAGUAAAACGAUACGAGAACACGUUAGCACAAAUUUCAAUUGACCACACCGAAGCUUGAAUGCUCUAAGAAAAGCAUUUUUCCUUGUGCGCCAGACAAACAUAAAUUUGUAAAGAUUAAUUUAUACAUAAAAUAUUUUUAAAUAUAGACAAACAUAAUACAAAAAAUAUGUUUAAAUUUAAGGAAAGUGAAUGUGUAA